UACGUAGGGUGCGAGCGUUAAUCGGAAUUACUGGGAGUAAAGCGUGCGCAGGCGGUGAUGUAAGACAGAUGUGAAAUCCCCGGGCUCAACCUGGGAACUGCAUUUGUGACUGCAUCGCUGGAGUGCGGCAGAGGGGGAUGGAAUUCCGCGUGUAGCAGUGAAAUGCGUAGAUAUGCGGAGGAACACCGAUGGCGAAGGCAAUCCCCUGGGCCUGCACUGACGCUCAUGCACGAAAGCGUGGGGAGCAAACAGG
Molecule: ribosomal RNA, 253 nt
Filed under: uncultured bacterium
Lineage: Bacteria
Description: partial 16S ribosomal RNA
Rfam family: Bacterial small subunit ribosomal RNA
Source: RNAcentral